UACGUAGGGUCCGAGCGUUGUCCGGAAUUACUGGGCGUAAAGAGCUCGUAGGUGGUUUGUCGCGUUGUUCGUGAAAACUCACAGCUUAACUGUGGGCGUGCGGGCGAUACGGGCAGACUUGAGUACUGCAGGGGAGACUGGAAUUCCUGGUGUAGCGGUGGAAUGCGCAGAUAUCAGGAGGAACACCGGUGGCGAAGGCGGGUCUCUGGGCAGCAACUGACGCUGAGGAGCGAAAGCGUGGGGAGCGAACAGG
RNAcentral lists this ribosomal RNA (253 nucleotides) under uncultured bacterium. Its description in RNAcentral is "partial 16S ribosomal RNA". It matches the Rfam family "Bacterial small subunit ribosomal RNA", at positions 524 to 776 of the family's 1533-position model. The record is from RNAcentral.